Anthonomus grandis grandis is the source of this 4211-nucleotide long non-coding RNA. RefSeq lists it as uncharacterized. The transcript is spliced from 2 exons. Lineage: Eukaryota; Metazoa; Arthropoda; Insecta; Coleoptera; Curculionidae. The record is from RefSeq and is a predicted model, not a curated record.
UUUAUUUCUAUCUUAUAUAGAAGCCUGAGAAAUAAUAACAUCUCCAAAAGUGAACAUUUUCAUUUUCGCUUUGUAUUUCAGGAACAAAAGUAGUUGGAAUAUUUCUGUUUGUGGCUUUAAAAGUUUUAUAAAAAAGUGAUACAGGGUCGCGAUAAGUUAUAAGUUAUAUCCUAAAAAUGACAGAGAUACCCUGCAAUCUCAUUCAAAAUGGGACACAGUGUAGAUACCGGGUCACACAAGAAAAAGGGAACACUUAAUAACUAUUUUACUCUUCAAGAUAUACAAAUGAAAUUUGGUAUAUUGAUGGAAUUAAUAAAUAAGAGCAUCUUUUGACAUAUUUAGUUUUCCGUUACUUCCUGUUUAACCAGAAGUGACACUAACCUUCUUAUUUUAAAUGAGACACUUGGUAUAUUAUUACAUAUUUCGAUAGAAAAUAAUAUUCUGAGAACAAUGAUACUGCAUUUUGUUUUAUACUCAUGGAAAAAUUCAAUUUUUAAAAUGUUUAAAUAAGGUGCCAUGAAUGCGUUGAAAGUUUUAAUUUUUAAUCAAGCAAUCACGGAAAAAUAUAUUUCAUUACAUUUUAUGACUUAAAUGUUUUACACGCCUAUUUGAAAUGUCCAAACCAAUAAGUUUGGCAUUUAAUUUAUUUUUUUAAAUUUCACGUUUUUGGAUACAAUAACUUUUAAAAUGCAGAUGUUUUUUCUUGAUAAAUAAGCCCAUAAGAAGACCAAAAACCAAGUCACAUAAAUAAACGCAUUUAAUUGAUCCCCGGCUUUUAUUUCUUGAAUAGGAGGCUGCGUUUUGGAGCCUACUUCAAUUAAUUGUUAAUUGACAUAAUACAUGACAUCUUAUCAAGUGAAAUUUUAGAGUUUACUAAUAUUUGAAAUGUUUACUAAAUAUAUUUCUAAAAAACUGUAUUUCAAAUGUGGUUUUUCAUAAUAAUGUGCUAUUUAAAAAAUAAACUAAAUGCAAUGAAAUUGUAAUAAUAUUACAAUUUCAUUUAAAAUUAAAAAGUUGGUGUCACUUUCUAUUAAACCGGAAGAAGUAAACAGGUGUUAGGUCUGGGGAUCUAGGUGCCCAUUCAAUAGGCUCUCUUCUUCCAAUCUGCUGGUUAGGAUAAAGAUCUUCCAACUACACAAGAAGGGGAACUACAUAAUGAGGAGGCGCUUCAUCCUACUAGAAUUGUAGUAAGCGCUCUUUAAAAGAUAAAUUUCCGUGUAUGUCCCUAUAAUUUUCUAAUUUCCGCACUAUUAGUCGUUCGAUAGACCCCUGUAGAAUUUCAGUAUACAUGUCGCUAUUUAAAUUUACUGGUAUAAAUAUUGGAUCGAUAAUAUUAUGUCCCAAUGCACCAGUCCAAACAUUAAUUUUCUGGGGGACUGGGUAUACCCUUAUCUAAAUGCGUGUGGGUUCUCGUCUCUAAAUAAAAGGUACACUCAUCACUAAAGCAAAUAUUCUUAACUAGUCGAGGUUCUGCCGUAAUUAUAUCUGUCAUUAUUUCACAAAACUGGAUUCUUCUGUUCGGGUCAUUAUCACCAAGUUCUUGCAGUAUUUGCAGUCUAAAAGCAGGGGUAAAAUUUCUUAUUGAUUCACGAGAUAAUCGAGUUGCUACAGCUGGUUGAUGAGUUGAUAAAGUUGAAUUCAUUGCAAACUGAGCCAGAAUUUCAAUUUGUGCCGUUACAUUAUUGAUCAAUCUGGGUUGAUUUAUAUUUUUAUUCGUGAGAGAACUAGUUUCGUCAAAUUUGGCUACUAGUUGACGAAUAUAGUUUGGGCUUACAUUUUGACCUCGAUGCCUUUCGUUAAAACAUUGAGCUGUUGCAGAGCAAUUGAGCACCUAAGAAACAUUAAUCCGGGGAACCAUAAAUGAAAAUAAUCUCUACACGUUCAGUUAUGCUGUACACCUUUGUUAAAGUGCUGCUUUUCUUUUAAAAUUAUUAGAAAGUCAACUGUUCUUAAAAUAGUAAGACUAGUACAAAAGUUACUUUUUAAAAAAAAUAUGUCAUAAUAAAAUGCGAAUAUUCAUAAACAACGCUUUUUGUUCAGCAAGAAAACCAUAACAAAUAAACCAAGACAAAAUACCUAUUUACGGGCUUGACAUGUUUAGAAUUCUUAAGAGACUUGGAGCCCACCAUUCUGAACAUUUCAUUUAAUAAUUAAAAAUUUGUAAACUAUGUUGUUGUUUAUUUAUUGUUUUCCUUGAUAAACAGAGAAGAAUUUCCUGAAAUGUGGCUUUCUAUGGUAUCAUUGGAAAGCAUUUUUUAAGAGCUUCAAGAUGAUGUAUCACUCGAUAGGUUACUACUUCUAUUUAAGAUUUUUGAGGUGUAUCUCACCCUGUCCAAGGGGUUGCAGACAAGGGUGAGAUAAUAUGCUUGUUUUUGUUCCGCCUUCGUUUUAUAGAUAGCGUUUUUUUAUUCAGUUUUUUAUUCUUAAUAUAUGGCUCUUUCAAGUUUUUAAAUUGUCACCCUGUAUAUAUACUACACCUUACAUCACUCUAGGAAUCACUCACUUAAUCUCUAAAAGAGGUGAAGGGCCCUCAAAAUACCAGUGUCUCCUAUAACGCUAUUUUUAUCAGAAUAAUUCAUACUCAUAUAAACCAGAAUAAUAUAAUAGCAUAGGACCAAAAUGAUUGGCAGUCCAACGUCUAGGGACACCAAAGAACUUUAAGUACCGAUUAAACCAUUUGAAAACAGAAGAAAACAAAAAAAUCUUGGUAUAUCGAAACAAAUAAAUAAACAUACAAAAAGACUAAUAUUUUAAGUACUUAGUCAAAUCCUCUCUUGGUUUUCAUUAUCCCUCAAUAUACCAAGUAGUAAGCUCAAUAAUUACCCUGCCAAAUACUUAUAUAGCCAAAAACUCAAUAACUUAAUGGACAAAUAAAAACAAUGCCAAAACAGAAUAGAAAAGAUGUCGCUGGUAAUGGGUAAUAUAAAACACAGUCGUAGCCAGUACAAAUACCUAGACUUUUUCAGGAACUUUACUCGACAAUAGAUGAAAAUAAAGAAUAAUAUACAGAAACUGAUAUUAUAAUGAGAACGUUACUUGCAAAAGAAUUACAAGAUCAGGUGGUUCCUUCCUAUAAGGUAACACAGAAAACAUAUCUCGAAGCAGAAAAAAGCAACUUUAUUAUGUCAGUCUGUUUUGAUCCUAGUGCAACAGCUUAGAGUAGCAGACACAAUAAUACGGAUUUACAUAUUAUAUGAAAAAACCAGAUACAGAAAUCCUAUAUACAUAAAAGAUAAUAAUUACAAUUAGUAUGACGUGCAUUGAUUACAAAAAACAUUGGCACCAUAUCACACGCAAUACUUAGCAGAGAAGUUUUGCUAUUGCAAAAUAGGUUCAACAUACCUGCAAGAUAUAUUAAAUCCAUCAAGAUAACUGCAAAAUGUGAUGAUUAUUUCAAAUAUAGAAAUUAAGUUCUAGAUAUUUUUACGAUAUUGUAAAUAAAUUUCAAAAUCAAAAAAUAAAUAAGUAUUUUAAAGUAGACUGGUAUCUAAACUGGGUCUAAAAAAUAGUUCGAAUUUGUUCAAACUUUUUUAGUUAAUACCCAGCUAUAAGCGUUCAAAAGUUACAUAAGUGUGGAAGUAGAAAAUAGUUGGAUGAGGAAAUAACGAUUGUAUUAGAGAAACUGCAUUGCCUUAGAAUGAAAUUACAUGCAAAUGCAACCAUCUCAUAGAUAUGUACAAGACUUUGUGGCCAAAUCUCAUGAAACAAGAUCAGUUGCCAAAAAAGAUGAAGCUGUCGCUGAUGAAAACAUUUAUUUACAUGUCUGGAAAUUGAACACGUGAAAUGUAUCUAGAGUUAUUGAACAUUGUUGUUUAGCCAGCUUUAGUUAAUUCCAUUGAGAAGAAUCAAUUAUGUCUGCUAGAAUGUUUAAUUUUCCACCAAAAUGGAACAACCCCACAUUCUGCGCAUCCUAUAAAAUAAUUUCUAGAUGAAAAUUUUAUUUAGGCUUUUGCCAAAAGAUCAAAAUAAAUCUGUAUCUUUAUGUACUAACCUGUAAGUCCUUAUUUUAUAUUUAAACUGAUAAUUUGUAAUUGACAUUAUUUAACUCAGAAAAUAUGUUCAGGGUUAGAAAAUUUAAUUUAAAACGUUUAAUACAAACCCAAAAAAUAAAAAUGAUAAUCUAGGUCUUUUAAGCAGCAUUCUAUCUCCUAAGUGUGAUAUGGCUUAUUCUUGCAGUUAUUAAAUUAAUAAAUAAAAGUACCUAUAUAAGA